Molecule: long non-coding RNA, 265 nt
Organism: Metopolophium dirhodum (rose-grain aphid)
Lineage: Eukaryota; Metazoa; Arthropoda; Insecta; Hemiptera; Aphididae
Exons: 2
Source: RefSeq, a predicted model, not a curated record
AACCAACAAAAAACCAAAAAUGGGCGCUGAAAAAGUAACAAUGAACAUCGUCGUCGUCGGACAAGUCCAAUCUGCCAAGGCCAUCAAAUCGGUCGUCAAAGCCUCCCCAGCCUCCAGCCAAUUGAUGAACUGUUAAUUCAUGUCCACAUCAAUCUCAAACUCAAAGAUGCCAUAGCCCAAACAGUACAUAAUUUUAUAAUUUAUUUUUAAUUAUAAUAAUGUGUAUUGACAUUGCAAAAUAAAUCAGUCUCUUCCGUCAGUAAAA